RNAcentral lists this ribosomal RNA (253 nucleotides) under uncultured bacterium. RNAcentral's name for it is "partial 16S ribosomal RNA". It matches the Rfam family "Bacterial small subunit ribosomal RNA", at positions 524 to 776 of the family's 1533-position model. The record is from RNAcentral.
UACGUAGGGUCCGAGCGUUGUCCGGAAUUACUGGGCGUAAAGCGCGCGCAGGCGGCCCGCGAGGUGUCACGUGAAAGCCCCGGGCUCAACCCGGGAGGGUCGUGGCAAACCGGCGGGCUUGAGGCCGGUAGAGGUGGGUGGAACUCCUGGUGGAGUGGUGAAAUGCGUAGAGAUCCGGAGGAACACCAAAGGCGAAGGCAGUGUCCUGGGGAGUACCUGACGCUCAGGUGCGAAAGCCAGGGGAGCGAACGGG